This 459-nucleotide ribosomal RNA is filed under the name uncultured bacterium. Its description in RNAcentral is "partial 16S ribosomal RNA". It matches the Rfam family "Bacterial small subunit ribosomal RNA", at positions 338 to 795 of the family's 1533-position model. The record is from RNAcentral.
CCUACGGGUGGCUGCAGUGAGGAAUAUUGGUCAAUGGGCGAGAGCCUGAACCAGCCAAGUCGCGUGAGGGAGUACUGCCCUAUGGGUUGUAAACCUCUUUUGUCGGGGAGCAAAAGCCGGACGUGUCCGGCUGUGAGAGUACCCGAAGAAAAAGCAUCGGCUAACUCCGUGCCAGCAGCCGCGGUAAUACGUAGGGGGCAAGCGUUAUCCGGAUUUACUGGGUGUAAAGGGAGCGUAGACGGCAGUGCAAGUCCGGAGUGAAAGCCCGGGGCUCAACCCUGGGACUGCUCUGGAAACUGUAAAGCUGGAGUGCGGGAGGGGCAGGCGGAAUUCCUGGUGUAGCGGUGAAAUGCGUAGAUAUCAGGAGGAACACCGGCGGCGAAGGCGGCCUGCUGGACCGUAACUGACGUUGAGGCUCGAAAGCGUGGGGAGCAAACAGGAUUAGAUACCCUUGUAGUC